This is a long non-coding RNA of Stegostoma tigrinum, 3561 nucleotides long. RefSeq lists it as uncharacterized. Lineage: Eukaryota; Metazoa; Chordata; Chondrichthyes; Orectolobiformes; Stegostomatidae. The record is from RefSeq and is a predicted model, not a curated record. The transcript is spliced from 3 exons.
GCAGCCUGGACAAUCUGUCUCAGAGAGGGUUGGAGACGGGGAUGCCCAGAAUGGGAGGUGGUGAAGUCGCGAAGGCUUCAGCGAUGUUCUGGGGAGGUGACGAGACCCGAGAGACAAGAUCGCGCUCCUGCCUCCGACGGAGGAGAUUGUGAGACAUGGUAGGAAAUGAAACCACGAGAGGAGGGGUCCUAGGGAGUUUAAAAAAUUCUGGGGGAGGCCUGAAGUCGCCACGGGGUCGAGGGGGAACUGGCUGCCAUCUUUGUCAAGGCGGCGCUUGGCACCGGUUACCCGGGUAACUGACCGCCAUCUUGGUAAGGGAAAGGCGCGCCGUACUUUGGGGGGAAAUCAUUGAAGAUCUCUGAUCAGGAAGGAUGCCCUGGCAGAGGUGGGCGGGGUGGAUUCACUGCCACCCACUGGAAUACCCCCGGCCCUGCCACCCCAAAUCAAACUCGUUGAUUUGAUUUUCUGUCUGCAGACCGAGGCUGGAGAAUUAAAACUCGAGGUAGGGCGAAAACUAGGACUGGAGAAAGCGAUGGGGAGAUGGAUUUGGAUUUCAGUCCAAAGGGAAAUGAGGGGCUGUGGACCUGAGAUCUACCGAUUCGGGGGAACAAGAGAGGAACAUAAUAUGCCUUACAAACUUGAACUGACUUCUGAAUUUCUAUCCUAUGCUGACCGUGAUGACUUUUCUAAACUCCUUAUGCAAGUUAAAUGUAGAGAAGUCUUUGGUGAUAUGAAACACAAAUCAAAUUUCCCGCCAGGGUCUGGUUGACUCAUGCAAAUCAACACAACCUGAGUACUGAUACCCUGUGACUGUAGAAGGAGAAAUAUUUGUUCUGUCUGUGGGAAAUGAUUUCAAACAUCGGUGUGCAUGAAGAGAACCCAGUGAUAAACACGCAUACCUGAGCAUGUUCCAGCGAGUAGUCUGGGGAAAGAACUUUACCCUGUCUCACAUUCCAAGUGAGGGCAUUCAAAUUUCCUGUGGAAAGAACUCUAACCAGUCAAGAAGAAUGGGAAAUCAUUUGCAGUGUGGAGAUAACAGGAUCAAUCUGCAUGCGGUCAAGACUUCAAUUGAUCACCCAUCCUGAAGAGAUACAAAGAUGACAUCUCUGCGGAGAAACAGUGGAAAUAUAAGGAUUCUGGUAAAAAAUUCAAAAAUCCAUCGCAGAUGGAAGUCCAUGGACAAAUUCACACUGGGGAGAAACCAUUUACCUGUUCCAUAUUUGCGGGAAGGUAUUCAAUCAGGCAGUGAAACUCCUGUCAUAUUAACGAAUUCAGGUUGAUGAGAGUCUGUGUGUCCAGAGAGUCUAUGAGAGUUCAGAGUGUAGGAAGAGAUUUACACAGACGUCCUGCCUCAUUUUACACCAGCAGAUUCACACUGUGGAGAGGCCAUUAGCUGUACUUAAUGGUACAAAAAAGAAUCAUGCCUUUAUCUGACCUGAAUAUACACCUGUGAGUUUACACCAGGGAGAAGCUAUUUACCUGUUCUGUGUGUGGAAAGAGAUUCCCUCAUUCAUCUGGCCUUCAAUCACACCAGCGUAUUCACACUGAGCAGCAACCACUCAGCUGCAUGUCCUGUGGAAUGAAGUUCAAACAUUCACCUGACCUUGUUGAACAUCAGGAGUUCACUCUGGGGAACAGCCAUUCACCUGCUCUCUGUUUGGGCAGUGCUUCGUUCAGUCAUCCAGUUUGCUGAGACACCAGUGAGUUCACACUGGAAGUAAGCCUGCACUUUCUGUGGGAAAGAUUUCCGGCUGUCAUCCACCCUCGUUGAACACCAGCAAAUUCACGUGGGGGGAGAAACCAUUCACUUGCCCUGUGUGUGGAAAGGAAUUCACUGUCAUCUGCAUUCGAGUCUCACCAACUAAUUCACACGAGGUGAAGCCGUUCAGUUCUACUUCUUGUGGGAAGCAUUUCAGGCGUUCAUCCUUUCUACUUGCUCAGCAAUGAGUUCACACCGGAGAGAGGCUGUUCAUUUGCUCUGUGUGUGGGGGAAGGGAAUCACUUAGUCCUUUCAACCUUUUGACACUUGUGAGUUCACAAGUGAACCUGAAUUACGAGUGUACUGCAACAGUUUGAGGAAACUCAUAACCGUAUUGUCCAGGACAACUAAUGGUGUCCCAGCCAGUGAAAGCCAUAUCCUCUGAAAGAAUUGGAUUCUGCUGUUGUUGUUGAUCACUUCCAGGAUUGACAGUCUGAGAAUGUUAGAUUUGUUUCUUCCAAUGUUAACGCACCUUUAACUGGAUGGAUUUUGGUAAUCUGGAUUUAUUCCUGAUUUUUGAGACUGCAGUGUCCCUUUUUAAAAGUACCAAUCAUGAUCCUGAAUUCAAGAAAUGUGUUUGGAUGUGGGGAGGGAAUCACAUGUCCUGUGCAAGGGAAACACAAAGAUCAUCGAUUUCCAAUUAGAAAGCUGACAAAUGAGAUAAUCAAAAAAGCUUCCUCCAACAAAUCUCCCGGGCUGAACUGUCCCAUUCAUGAUGUUUAUUGCACAGAUUAGCAGCAUCUCAUCUGACAACUUUAGGAUGAAGAAUGAAAUGAAAUCAUUUGGUUUCAGGGUCCCUGCUUAGUUUGGCAUUUUCUUCUCCAUUCUCUCAACCUUCGCAUUCCCCACCGAUACUGGAGAGUUUCCCUGUAUGCCGGGUCAGGCAGUGAGUUCUACAAUCAAUCCAGACUGAAAACCAAGACAAAGAACGUCCUGCUUGAAGUGGUUAACAACUUCUUUGACCUUGAGCCUGUGAUGAAGUCAUGUCUCUUUGAGGCAGAGUUCAGUACACAUGUAAGGGAAGGAGCAAGCACCUUUAGACAUCUCUUGAAAAGCACAAUGAAUAACCUCAAGCUAACUUGGAGCACCAAAAUGUUGGUUUCUGAGGCCUAUGCUCUCAAAUCCUUGUUGUCAGGAAUUGGAAAAAAAACAGAUGACUCGUAUCAAUUGUCACAUAAGGUAUGAGCAUUGAGCAAUUCACCAGAGAGGAGUUACUUGCUCUACAGAAUAGCAUUUUGGGAACUUACAAACCCAACUGAGAGGGCAGAUGAGGCCACAGUUGAACGUUGCAUCCACAAUGAACUGCCGAUGCUGGAGAAUCUGAGAUAACACGGUGUGAAGUUGGAUAAACACAGCAGGCCAAGCAGCAUCAGAGGAGCAGGAAAGCUUGAUGUUUCAAGUUGGGACCCUUCUUCAGAAACAGGAAUUUUCUGAAGGGCCCCUGGACCGUACUGUGCCUGCCUAUCGACAUAUUUUCUUUCAAAUCUGUGAUAAUGCAUCUGCAAUAACAUUUUUACAACCUGCAUAAUGUACAAUUAGUAAAUUAAAAGCCUGUAACAUAAGACUCCAAUGAAAUUGUCUUGUAUUCUUAUCCUUAAAUCUUUCCCAAAGGAGGGUUGUGAGAGAAGGCUGUGGCCUGCACAUGCACCAAACUCAAUAAUUCUUUUUUAAUGGCAGGGUAUUUUUCAGGUGGAUAUUGAGUUUCUUUGAAAAAAUAAUGAAUUGGCCUUUCAAUUCCACCAGCAUCGUGCUGCAUCAACGUAGCUCCAACUCCUACAGUGCUCGCGUAGACAGUGACUUAA